This 576-nucleotide ribosomal RNA is filed under the name Citrobacter freundii. Its description in RNAcentral is "bacterial SSU rRNA". It matches the Rfam family "Bacterial small subunit ribosomal RNA", at positions 75 to 650 of the family's 1533-position model. Lineage: Bacteria; Pseudomonadati; Pseudomonadota; Gammaproteobacteria; Enterobacterales; Enterobacteriaceae. The record is from RNAcentral.
CUUGCUCCUUGGGUGACGAGUGGCGGACGGGUGAGUAAUGUCUGGGAAACUGCCCGAUGGAGGGGGAUAACUACUGGAAACGGUAGCUAAUACCGCAUAACGUCGCAAGACCAAAGAGGGGGACCUUCGGGCCUCUUGCCAUCGGAUGUGCCCAGAUGGGAUUAGCUAGUAGGUGGGGUAACGGCUCACCUAGGCGACGAUCCCUAGCUGGUCUGAGAGGAUGACCAGCCACACUGGAACUGAGACACGGUCCAGACUCCUACGGGAGGCAGCAGUGGGGAAUAUUGCACAAUGGGCGCAAGCCUGAUGCAGCCAUGCCGCGUGUAUGAAGAAGGCCUUCGGGUUGUAAAGUACUUUCAGCGAGGAGGAAGGUGUUGUGGUUAAUAACCGCAGUGAUUGACGUUACUCGCAAAAGAAGCACCGGCUAACUCCGUGCCAGCAGCCGCGGUAAUACGGAGGGUGCAAGCGUUAAUCGGAAUUACUGGGCGUAAAGCGCACGCAGGCGGUCUGUCAAGUCGGAUGUGAAAUCCCCGGGCUCACCUGGGAACUGCUCCGAAACUGGCAGGCUAGAGUCUU